UGAUGGUUCAUUAGAUGGA
RNAcentral lists this non-coding RNA (19 nucleotides) under Arabidopsis thaliana (thale cress). Lineage: Eukaryota; Viridiplantae; Streptophyta; Magnoliopsida; Brassicales; Brassicaceae. The record is from RNAcentral.